GACGAACGCUGGCGGCGUGCUUAACACAUGCAAGUCGAACGGAAAGGCCCUGCUUUUGUGGGGUGCUCGAGUGGCGAACGGGUGAGUAACACGUGAGUAACCUGCCCUUGACUUUGGGAUAACUUCAGGAAACUGGGGCUAAUACCGGAUAGGAGCUCCUGCUGCAUGGUGGGGGUUGGAAAGUUUCGGCGGUUGGGGAUGGACUCGCGGCUUAUCAGCUUGUUGGUGGGGUAGUGGCUUACCAAGGCUUUGACGGGUAGCCGGCCUGGGAGGGUGACCGGCCACAUUGGGACUGAGAUACGGCCCAGACUACUACGGGAGGCAGCAGUGGGGAAUAUUGCACAAUGGGCGGAAGCCUGAUGCAGCAACGCCGCGUGCGGGAUGACGGCCUUCGGGUUGUAAACCGCUUUCGCCUGUGACGAAGCGUGAGUGACGGUAAUGGGUAAAGAAGCACCGGCUAACUACGUG
RNAcentral lists this ribosomal RNA (468 nucleotides) under uncultured bacterium. RNAcentral's name for it is "partial 16S ribosomal RNA". It matches the Rfam family "Bacterial small subunit ribosomal RNA", at positions 28 to 507 of the family's 1533-position model. The record is from RNAcentral.